Molecule: ribosomal RNA, 495 nt
Filed under: uncultured bacterium
Lineage: Bacteria
Description: partial 16S ribosomal RNA
Rfam family: Bacterial small subunit ribosomal RNA
Source: RNAcentral
GACGAACGCUGGCGGCGUGCCUAAUACAUGCAAGUAGAACGCUGAAGGAGGAGCUUGCUCUUCUGGAUGAGUUGCGAACGGGUGAGUAACGCGUAGGUAACCUGCCUGGUAGCGGGGGAUAACUAUUGGAAACGAUAGCUAAUACCGCAUAAGAGUAGAUGUUGCAUGACAUUUACUUAAAAGGUGCAAUUGCAUCACUACCAGAUGGACCUGCGUUGUAUUAGCUAGUUGGUGGGGUAACGGCUUACCAAGGCGACGAUACAUAGCCGACCUGAGAGGGUGAUCGGCCAAACUGGGACUGAGACACGGCCCAGACUCCUACGGGAGGCAGCAGUAGGGAAUCUUCGGCAAUGGACGGAAGUCUGAACGAGCAACGCCGCGUGAGUGAAGAAGGUUUUCGGAUCGUAAAGAUCUGUUGUAAGAGAAGAACGAGUGUGAGAGUGGAAAGUUCACACUGUGACGGUAUCUUACCAGAAAGGGACGGCUAACUACGUG